UACCGCACAUGUUCUGUAAGAAGCUCAUGGAUUCAGACACUACCAUGCACGGUGGCAUUCUCCGUGCUGUGCCGCAGAGGACUGCAUCCAGCUGCUGCAACAUUGAGUAAAUAGAGAAGAGAGCAGUAGAUUGAUGGUCAUCUGCAUUUGGUUUCAUUCAUGAGCAUGCGGAAAGGGGCCUGCAGAUUUGAGGCCGAGGGCCAUGGCCGGUGCGGUGGUGCCUUGUCAUUCUCAUGUAAACGCGGAGGUUGCUCGUCAUUCUCUUGUGGAGCGCGACGCAUGAGGAAGCAUCUAGCAUGGAUGGAGGAGGGCACGGGAGAGGAGUAGGUUGAAGGAUUUUGACAGAGAAUGGUGAGCAGGAACCAGCCGUCCUCAACUGCCAAUCAGCAACCUGGGAGUUAUUCAGCAAGCAGAGACAAGAAUGCUGAAAGAAUUACUUCAGAAAGAAACAUAGCAGCAAACCAAGGUGAUUCUGGCACACCUGUAGUGCCAUCUGGAGUUGUCGGUGAUAAGAGAGUAUCACUAGGCGUAGGAGCUUGGGGUCCUGGUCUUCAUGCUCAAUUGGAACAAGGGUAUCGCCAAGCUCGAGAAGUAGUCAGAUCCAAUAAUGGUAUAUAGAUUCUUUCACAGCUUCUUAGUGCUCGGAUGGUUACACCUCCUGCGGCUGUUGAUGCUAUUCAGUCCCUUGCUUUUUGUGUACUGCUUGGCUUGGCUAGAGAUGAUGCAAUUGCUCAUAUACUGACAAAGCUUCAUGUAUGGUGGACUGCAGAACAAUUCAUUUAUUUUCAUGUGUUUUUUCUUACUUUUGCAUGACUAUAAUUUCAGCAACGGGUAGCUGCUACCAACUAUUCCCUUUGUUUCACAUAUAGGGUAUGUUCCUUUUUCUUCAUGCUUUGUUUUGAAAUAGCCGUAGUCAAUGAGGUUUGUAACCUUACUAAGGUCGAACGGGCUACCUAGCUACUCAAACCUAAUUGUGGGAAAUUGGUUAGACAUCAUCUCCUUUUUCUCCCUUCUCAUUUUCUCUGUUACUUGGUCUAUGCAAAAUGCUGUGAGAUGAAUUGGACGGAGGGGUAACCAAUCCUUUUCUUUGUUGUGAAUAAUAGAGUUGGUAAACUACCUCUCUCAUCUCUCUGAUACCCUUCUUUCACCCUCUCUUUACAUAUCUGUCCUGUAGGUUACUUUGUUUGUUGCGUGUUGCCUCCUAGGUAAGUAACUAACUAACUCUUAACCUAUUAUUCCAGAUAUGGAAGAAAUUAUCAGAACUGAUUUGUGACACCAGUACCCAGACAUCUGGAAGUGAUAAUGCAAGAUGGAUAAAUGAACUGACCCAAGUGGCAUUGAACUUAUUGUGGCUUACAAACUUUUUGGAGAAAUAUGUUGGUGCAUAUUGGUCGACCGACUUCAGAAUGUGUUGAACGAACUGAAAGAUUGUAUUUUCCGUCGACUUGAUGCACUUAAGCUAAAUAAUGUGAAGCAAAGCUAUGGAGAAGGCGGUGUAUCUUACAUGAAGUGCCUGCAACGACUGUAGAUAAGGCACAAUAGAGACUUCACCCUUGAUACUUCAACGUUCAUGAACAUGGAGUAUUGGGAACAAAGGGAGUCACUCCAAAAUAUGUGAAUUAGCAAUGAAAAAUAUCAAAAUCAUGACUCUCUUCAGCCUAAGUGUCACGUUGAAGGAAGAACCAAGACUCAGGUUUUCAGUUAAAUGUACUUCGAAAAUGUAUGUAUCUCCCGUUACUGGGGUGUUGCUGAAUUUGAGCAAGCACCCUCAUGUAAAUAUAGGUACACGAUCCUAGCAUAUUGUAUUUCCGAAUUUGUCAGGAGGCACAAAAAAAUUUGUAUCAUGUCUUGAAGUUAUCAAUAUUUAUAGUA
Molecule: long non-coding RNA, 1872 nt
Organism: Lolium rigidum
Lineage: Eukaryota; Viridiplantae; Streptophyta; Magnoliopsida; Poales; Poaceae
Exons: 5
Source: RefSeq, a predicted model, not a curated record